CAGCAGCCGCGGGAAUACGGAGGGAGCUAGCGUUGUUCGGAAUUACUGGGCGUAAAGCGCGCGUAGGCGGUUACUCAAGUCAGAGGUGAAAGCCCGGGGCUCAACCCCGGAACUGCCUUUGAGACUAGGUAACUAGAAUCUUGGAGAGGUCAGUGGAAUUCCGAGUGUAGAGGUGAAAUUCGUAGAUAUUCGGAAGAACACCAGUGGCGAAGGCGACUGACUGGACAAGUAUUGACGCUGAGGUGCGAAAGCGUGGGGAGCAAACAGGAUUAGAUACCCGCGUAGUCCCUGUCUCUUAUAC
Molecule: ribosomal RNA, 301 nt
Filed under: uncultured bacterium
Lineage: Bacteria
Description: partial 16S ribosomal RNA
Rfam family: Bacterial small subunit ribosomal RNA
Source: RNAcentral